GGGAUUGGACCAACAAGACUAUUGGAGGAUAGAUCGAAUUCAGACAAAUUCCUUAGUCUCCCAAUUUCUUGUGGAAUGGAUCCAUUAAGUUUGUUGCUUUGAAGGAACAACGAGGCAAGAUUGGUUAAGCUGCUGAUAGAAGAUGGGAUUGGACCAACAAGCCUAUUGUAGGAUAGAUCCAAUGCAACCAAAUUCCCUAGUCUCCCAAUUUCUUGCGGAAUGGAUCCAUUAAGUUUGUUGCUUUCAAGGAACAACGAGACAAGAUUGGUUAAGUUGCUGAUAGAAGAUGGGAUUGGACCAACAAGCCUAUUGUUGGAUAGAUCCAAUGCAACUAAAUUCCUUAGUCUCCCAAUUUCUUGCGGAAUGAAUCCAUUAAUUUUGUUGCUUUCAAGGAACAACGAGGCAAGAUUGGUUAAGUUGCUGAUAGAAGAUGGGAUUGGACCAACAAGCCCGUUGUUUGAGAGAUGAAGAUCAACCAUAUUCUCUAGCUUUCCAAUAUUUGGUGGAAUGGAGUGAAUAUCAUUAAUAGAAACAUCAAGCCCUGCCAAUUGAGUGAGGUUUCCAAUUGAAGAAGGUAACUUACCUGUAAGGCUGUUCAGUGACAAAUUUAGAGAAACAAGAUUCUCCAUCUUCUGAAUUGCCAAGGGAAUGGAAUGAAUAUAGUUAUCAUAAACGUCAAGCACUGCCAAUUGAGUGAGGUUUCCAAUUGAAGAAGGUAACUCACCUGUAAGGCUAUUCAAAGAUAGGUUGAGGUACCUGAGCUUUGAAAGUGCUCCUAUUUGAGGUGUUAUGCUCCCAUUCAGACCAUGGCCACUAAGAUCAAUCUCGACGACACUUCCAGCUUUGCAUCGGAUACCAG
RNAcentral lists this long non-coding RNA (859 nucleotides) under Gossypium raimondii (Peruvian cotton). RNAcentral describes it as "long non-coding RNA (GRAI_LNC004340)". Lineage: Eukaryota; Viridiplantae; Streptophyta; Magnoliopsida; Malvales; Malvaceae. The record is from RNAcentral.